UUCAAAACUGUUCGAACGAUGAAGCUGAUGUUCUCCGAGUCAAAAAUUUUGGUAAUCGAAUUCCUAAGAGAAUUUAGAUUGCUCGAAUAUAUGACCGGAUACAAAUUAGCUUUUAAUUAGGUCGAAGAAUAUCGUCGUUUGUGUAUUAUCGACGGAGAGAACUUCCAUCAACGUAUACAGUGGCCCAUAAAAAAGUAUAACAGAAUAACCAGUUUACCGAACGAUAAUUAAAAUACUUCUUUUUCGUUAAUUUUGCUAUUACUUGACUGAUUAUUGGAAAUACGAAAGGCAUAAGGAAACGCAGAAAAAUUCGUCAUUAUGUACGUUGCAUCUGCAUUGGGCGACAGCAAUAAUGUCACGUAAACAUUGCACCAAACCGUUCGUCGUACACGUUUCCCGAACGAACAGCCAACCCUCGGCGCGUUUAAAAAGUGAAAGUUCGGAAGUGCGCGCAAGCAACGAGAGCCUAUUCC
This is a long non-coding RNA of Megalopta genalis, 473 nucleotides long. RefSeq lists it as uncharacterized. Lineage: Eukaryota; Metazoa; Arthropoda; Insecta; Hymenoptera; Halictidae. The record is from RefSeq and is a predicted model, not a curated record.